This 498-nucleotide ribosomal RNA is filed under the name uncultured bacterium. RNAcentral's name for it is "partial 16S ribosomal RNA". It matches the Rfam family "Bacterial small subunit ribosomal RNA", at positions 30 to 523 of the family's 1533-position model. The record is from RNAcentral.
AUUGAACGCUGGCGACAUGCCUUACACAUGCAAGUCGAACGGUAACAGGUCUUCGGAUGCUGACGAGUGGCGAACGGGUGAGUAAUACAUCGGAACGUGCCUAGUAGUGGGGGAUAACUACUCGAAAGAGUGGCUAAUACCGCAUGAGAUCUACGGAUGAAAGCAGGGGAUCGCAAGACCUUGUGCUACUAGAGCGGCCGAUGGCAGAUUAGGUAGUUGGUGGGAUAAAAGCUUACCAAGCCGACGAUCUGUAGCUGGUCUGAGAGGACGAUCAGCCACACUGGGACGUAGACACGGCCCAGACUCCUACGGGAGGCAGCAGUGGGGAAGUUUGGACAAUGGGCGAAAGCCUGAUCCAGCAAUGCCGCGUGCAGGAUGAAGGCCUUCGGGUUGUAAACUGCUUUUGUACGGAACGAAAAGCCCCGGGUUAAUACCCUGGGGUCAUGACGGUACCGUAAGAAUAAGCACCGGCUAACUACGUGCCAGCCGCCGCCGUAA